This 473-nucleotide ribosomal RNA is filed under the name uncultured bacterium. RNAcentral describes it as "bacterial SSU rRNA". It matches the Rfam family "Bacterial small subunit ribosomal RNA", at positions 355 to 825 of the family's 1533-position model. The record is from RNAcentral.
UGGGGAAUUGUUCACAAUGGGCGCAAGCCUGAUGACGCAACGCCGCGUGGGGGAUGAAGGUCUUCGGAUUGUAAACCCCUGUCGAAUGGGACGAAAGACUCGCGAGUUAAUACUUCGCGGGAGUGACGGUACCGUUAAAGGAAGCCACGGCUAACUCUGUGCCAGCAGCCGCGGUAAUACGUAGGGACCAAGCGUUGUUCGGAUUUACUGGGCGUAAAGGGCGCGUAGGCGGCAAUUCAAGUCAUCUGUGAAAUCUCCGGGCUUAACUCGGAACGGUCAGAUGAUACUGCUUUGCUAGAGUGCAGAAGGGGCAAUCGGAAUUCUUGGCGUAGCGGUGAAAUGCGUAGAUAUCAAGAGGAACACCUGAGGUGAAGACGGGUUGCUGGGCUGACACUGACGCUGAGGCGCGAAAGCCAGGGGAGCAAACGGGAUUAGAUACCCCUGUAGUCCCUGAGCGGGCUGGCAAGGCGCAU